RNAcentral lists this unclassified non-coding RNA (21 nucleotides) under Mus musculus (house mouse). RNAcentral's name for it is "oocyte_clustered_small_RNA12039". The record is from RNAcentral. Lineage: Eukaryota; Metazoa; Chordata; Mammalia; Rodentia; Muridae.
UGAUGACUGACCGCCCUGACU